GCGGAAAUAGCUCAGUGGUAGAGCAUAACCUUGCCAAGGUUAGGGUCGCGAGUUCGAGUCUCGUUUUCCGCU
This 72-nucleotide transfer RNA is filed under the name Candidatus Azosocius agrarius. Its description in RNAcentral is "tRNA-Gly". It matches the Rfam family "tRNA". Rfam says of the family: Transfer RNA (tRNA) molecules are approximately 80 nucleotides in length. Their secondary structure includes four short double-helical elements and three loops (D, anti-codon, and T loops). Lineage: Bacteria; Pseudomonadati; Pseudomonadota; Gammaproteobacteria; Candidatus Azoamicaceae. The record is from RNAcentral.